This 301-nucleotide ribosomal RNA is filed under the name uncultured bacterium. RNAcentral's name for it is "partial 16S ribosomal RNA". It matches the Rfam family "Bacterial small subunit ribosomal RNA", at positions 509 to 807 of the family's 1533-position model. The record is from RNAcentral.
CAGUAGCCGCGGGAAUACGGAGGGUGCAAGCGUUAAUCGGAAUUACUGGGCGUAAAGCGUGCGUAGGCGGUUCGUUAAGUCUGUUGUGAAAGCCCCGGGCUCAACCUGGGAAUGGCAAUGGAUACUGGCGAGCUAGAGUGUGUCAGAGGAUGGUGGAAUUCCCGGUGUAGCGGUGAAAUUCGUAGAUAUUGGGAAGAACACCGGUGGCGAAGGCGGCGACCUGGUCCAUAACUGACGCUGAGGCGCGAAAGCGUGGGGAGCAAACAGGAUUAGAUACCCCGGUAGUCCCUGUCUCUUAUAC